AUACAGAACGUCCCAUCACUAGUUCAUUCACCGCCAGUUUGUCAUCAACACAUGUUGGUAACAGGCCUUAUACUUCAAGUUCUUGCUGUGAUCUAUCUUGUUAACACGACUCUCUUGUGCUGCAGUUGCUGUAUUCACCUUGGCUCACGCUCCACCUCCGAACUCAAGAUACCAAGCAAUCCUUCUGAAAAUCUCUCUGUGCCUCACCUGCCUGCCCUCCUGCCAUCACACUCCAUCUGAAGCCCCGGAUCUCAGACCAGCCUUUCCACGCCACUCAGCCUCCCCUGGAUUCUCAUACCCCCCUCUCAACACUCCAUGUCCCCUACUGCAAUGUGACUGUUCCCUGCUCAGCUCCACUCCGCAUCUCAGGCCUCAUUCCCUCGCCCUAGCCACGUUCCCCAGGCCACGCCUCGUCAAACUCCACGUCUUAUUGUUUUUUUGUCUUUGCUACGUUUUCUUUUUUGCACUUUAGCCUAAUAAAUUGUUACAUCAUC
This is a long non-coding RNA of Maylandia zebra (zebra mbuna), 494 nucleotides long. RefSeq lists it as uncharacterized. NCBI's taxonomy places the organism in Eukaryota, Metazoa, Chordata, Actinopteri, Cichliformes, Cichlidae. The record is from RefSeq and is a predicted model, not a curated record.